This 496-nucleotide long non-coding RNA is filed under the name Capra hircus (goat). Its description in RNAcentral is "lncRNA (ENSCHIG00000000754.1)". The record is from RNAcentral. Lineage: Eukaryota; Metazoa; Chordata; Mammalia; Artiodactyla; Bovidae.
ACAGAUUUACCAGAAUCCCAUAUUUCCCCAUCAUCUGCAUGUUGUUGAUUUAGUUCCUGUCUUGAUCGCUUUUGCAUCCUACAGAAAAGAUGCAGAUAAACCCCGCCCGGAAAUAUGGAGAGCCACAGUGCAGCAUUUCACAUUGAAGCUCACCAGAGAAAUCAGUCAUGUUGUGUUUGCCCUGUGAACGCUUCUCUGAAUUUUCAUUUCCAUGGCUAUAUCUCAAGAGACAAUCAGAAAGUUGAACAAGCAGGAUUUGUGGGACAUAAUCACUGGAGCAGCUUUAUUUUUGUCUGACUCAGACCACUUAAGAUUCAUUGAGUGGAAGGCAUUCUUCCAGUGUCGCUAGUUGAAAGUUCAGCCAUUCUCAGAAUUUUCUGAUCUCUCUAAGCACUGUAAUCGCUUAAAAAUUUCACAAAUAAAUUUAGUGACUUAAUUCAAAUGUUUCAGUCUCUGGGGGGAACAACUUGGCACUCCAUUUAAGGGCGCAGUCUGG